UCUAAGUAUAACCUGCCAGACAGGGAAACUGCGUACGGCUCAUUACACCAGCCUUAAUUUACUUGACCUUGACAACCUACUUGGAUAACUGUGGUAAUUCUAGAGCUAACACAUGCACCAAAGCUCCGAUCCUCGCGGAGAGGAGCGCAUUUGUUCGCCACAAAACCAAGCCCCCAUCUGGGCGUCCAGUGCUGAACCAGAACAACUCAGCUGAUCGCACGGUCUUGUACCGGCGACGUGUCUUUCAAGUGUCUGCCUUAUCAACUUUCGAUGGUAGUGUACCUGACUACCAUGGUUGUGACGGGUAACGGAGGAUAAGGGUUCGACUCCGGAGAAGGGGCCUGAGAAAUGGCCACUACGUCUAAGGAUGGCAGCAGGCGCGCAAAUUACCCACUCUCAACGCGAGGAGGUAGUGACGAGAAAUAACGAGACCGUUCUCAUACGAGGCCGGUUAUUGGAAUGGGUACAAUUUAAA
This 475-nucleotide ribosomal RNA is filed under the name unidentified nematode Sourhope farm. Its description in RNAcentral is "SSU rRNA". It matches the Rfam family "Eukaryotic small subunit ribosomal RNA", at positions 58 to 529 of the family's 1831-position model. Lineage: Eukaryota; Metazoa; Nematoda. The record is from RNAcentral.